This is a long non-coding RNA of Drosophila yakuba, 737 nucleotides long. RefSeq lists it as uncharacterized. The transcript is spliced from 3 exons. Lineage: Eukaryota; Metazoa; Arthropoda; Insecta; Diptera; Drosophilidae. The record is from RefSeq and is a predicted model, not a curated record.
ACUUUCGACACAUCUUCAAGUGAUUUAAAAUUACCUGGGCUUACUGUGUCACAUUUGUUCUAAGACCAUCACAUAUUUUAUGUUGGCUUAAACUUAUUGUGCUAUCUUAUCAGAAACAAUAAAAUUCCAACGUUUUAAACGUAGUCUUUAAGGAAGUGAUUUGAAAAAUAUUCUCCAGAAACGCAAACCAUUUGAUGUUCUUAAUGCUUUGAGAGACUUUCAAAGGCUAGUAAUGUGAUAAUGGAGAUUGGUAGGAGAAGUUCGCUAGGUUGUCGCUGGCAGGAUGUCGUCUGUCGCCCGUCGCUGGUCCCCUGUCGCCAUUACGCGCACGCACAAUGGCGCUAAUAAAUUAAAAACGAAAGCUAAUUUCUGUAAUUGCGCACACAACGAGUCAACAGCUACAGAGCCAACAUCCAACAGGCAGUAACCAGCAACCAACUAGCUACCCGGGUUCCUGGAAAUGUCCUUCGUCCUGGCAAUGCCAAGUUCCCUCGCCAAGUUCGCAGUGUACUAAAUGGCCCCGAAGCUUUUGACUAGUUGGAUUGGGGGCGAAAGAAACUUACACGUAAUUAGCUGCACGUUUUAUGAAAAUUUCUGUCGCAAAUGUAGCGACUAUAGCUCUCAACUAGUGACACUUUUCAGAGGGGUCCUUUUAGUCCUCGUUAACAAAUAGUGACAACAAAGGAACUUAAGCAGCUCAGCGGAAGUCCUUGCACUCGAGUUUCUGUGUCAAACAA